RNAcentral lists this ribosomal RNA (253 nucleotides) under uncultured bacterium. RNAcentral describes it as "partial 16S ribosomal RNA". It matches the Rfam family "Bacterial small subunit ribosomal RNA", at positions 524 to 776 of the family's 1533-position model. The record is from RNAcentral.
UACGAGUGCCCCGAGCGUUAUCCGGAAUUAUUGGGCGUAAAGGGUGUGUAGGUGGCAGCGUUAGUCGUCUGUUAAAGCCUGGGGCUCAACCUCAGUCAUGCGGACGAAACGGCACAGCUAGAGGAUGGCAGGGAUGUAUGGAACUCAUGGAGUAGGGGUGAAAUCCGUUGAUAUCAUGGGGAACACCGAAAGCGAAAGCAGUACAUUGGGCCACUCCUGACACUGAAACACGAAAGCGUGGGUAGCGAAUGGG